RNAcentral lists this long non-coding RNA (310 nucleotides) under Gallus gallus (chicken). Its description in RNAcentral is "long non-coding RNA NONGGAT008228". Lineage: Eukaryota; Metazoa; Chordata; Aves; Galliformes; Phasianidae. The record is from RNAcentral.
CGCUGCUGCCAGCCGGAGUGCUUUGAUCCCCGCCUGCAGCGCUGCCACGCUGGGUUCAUUUCGGCCAAGCUGGGUUAAACCGAGCAAACCUGCCCGCUGUGGGUGUGCGUGGGGCGCUGGUGCUGAACAUCUGCACCUCGCCUGGGGGGCGAAGGGAUGGAGGAUGAGGUUCUCUCCCCAUGGCAACCGGAGAUGGGGACCUGCCAGGUGCUGCUGAGGCUCCAGCUCUGCUUUCUUGAUGUCACAGCUCAGAGUGGAUGUGGCUGGGUUGAGCUUCAGGUGGAUUGAAGGUUUUCCAGCUACAAAAGGA